Molecule: long non-coding RNA, 458 nt
Filed under: Brassica napus (rape)
Lineage: Eukaryota; Viridiplantae; Streptophyta; Magnoliopsida; Brassicales; Brassicaceae
Description: long non-coding RNA (BNAP_LNC024444)
Source: RNAcentral
GUGAUGAAAAAUCAGUUAUAUUGGAAGCUUGAACCGCGUCGAGAUUGACAAUCGGGUUAUAUGGCGUUUUGGGAUAAACGACCGGUUAAAUAUUACUCAAUGGUUUACGGUUAUUGAAAACCGGUUAUCAGUUCUAACUACACUUGCCUAAUAUAAAAAGCAAGGCUCGUGAGUUGUAUUAGUUAUCAGAGAAAGAUAGACUGUACGAGGGUUACAAACUUUAGGUCACGGCCGUUGUGAUCUUGGAAGAGUUUUAGUAAUUUUUCUUGCCAGGCCCCAGAGACGUAGCCACAUCGGUGAACUCUGGGUAAUCAAUUAAUCUUUGUGUAUGAUCCUCUUCUUAUUUUGUUUCUCUUUCGUUCCUUGCGUAUACGUGUUCCUAAGUGUUUUUCCGUGAGAGUUUUGUGUCGUGAAUUGUGCGACGUCGGUUCGAGGUUGAACAGUUUUCAUGGUUCAUA